Molecule: ribosomal RNA, 497 nt
Filed under: uncultured bacterium
Lineage: Bacteria
Description: partial 16S ribosomal RNA
Rfam family: Bacterial small subunit ribosomal RNA
Source: RNAcentral
GAUGAACGCUGGCGGCGUGCCUAAUACAUGCAAGUCGAGCGAACAGACGAGGAUCUUGCUUCUCUGACGUUAGCGGCGGACGGGUGAGUAACACGUGGAUAACCGACCUAUGAGACUGGGAUAACUUCGGGAAACCGGAGCUAAUACCGGACAAUAUAUUGAACCGCAUGGUUCAAUAGUGAAAGACGGUUUUGCUGUCACUUGUAGAUGGAUCCGCGCCGCAUUAGCUAGUUGGUAAGGUAACGGCUUACCAAGGCAACGAUGCGUAGCCGACCUGAGAGGGUGAUCGGCCACACUGGAACUGAGACACGGUCCAGACUCCUACGGGAGGCAGCAGUAGGGAAUCUUCCGCAAUGGGCGAAAGCCUGACGGAGCAACGCCGCGUGAGUGAUGAAGGUCUUCGGAUCGUAAAACUCUGUUAUUAGGGAAGAACAAAUGUGUAAGUAACUAUGCACGUCUUGACGGUACCUAAUCAGAAAGCAACGGCUAACUACGUG